Molecule: ribosomal RNA, 246 nt
Filed under: uncultured bacterium
Lineage: Bacteria
Description: partial small subunit ribosomal RNA
Rfam family: Bacterial small subunit ribosomal RNA
Source: RNAcentral
AGAAUCAACGCUGGCGGCGUGCCUAACACAUGCAAGUCGCACGAGAAAGGGUAGCAAUACCUGAGUACAGUGGCGCACGGGUGAGUAACACGUGAAUAAUCUACCUCCGAGUGGGGAAUAAACUGAGAGAAAUCUUAGCUAAUACCGCAUAACACUUACGAGUCAAAGCAGCAAUGCGCUUGGAGAGGAGUUCGCGGCAGAUUAGUUAGUUGGCGGGGUAAUGGCCCACCAAGACGAUGAUCUGUA